RNAcentral lists this transfer RNA (69 nucleotides) under Fukomys damarensis (Damara mole-rat). It matches the Rfam family "tRNA". Rfam says of the family: Transfer RNA (tRNA) molecules are approximately 80 nucleotides in length. Lineage: Eukaryota; Metazoa; Chordata; Mammalia; Rodentia; Bathyergidae. The record is from Rfam by way of RNAcentral.
GAUCGCGUGGCCUAAUGGAUAAGGUGUCUGACUUCGGAUCAGAAGAGGGUUCGAGUUCCUUCGUGGUCG